UAAUUUUUUCCCGGGGUUGGAAUCCGGAAGGCCAAGGUCUACCUUUUUCUACGGGAUAACGCAUGGAAACGUGUGCUAAUACCGUAUACGCCCUAAAAGGGGAAACAUUUUAUUGGAGAGAGAUGAGCCUGCGUUGGAUUACCUACUUGGUACGGUAACAGCCUACCAAGGCUACGAUCUAUAUCUGGUCUGAGAGGACGAUCAGCCACACUGGGACUGAGACACGGCCCCGAUUCCUACGGGAGGCAGCAGUGGGGAAUAUUGGACAAUGGGGGCAACCCUGAUCCAGCCAUGCCGCGUGAGUGAAGAAGGCCUUAGGGUUGUAAAGCUCUUUCGCCGGAGAAGAUAAUGACGGUAUUCGGAGAAGAAGCCCCGGCUAACUUCGUGCCAGCAGCCGCGGUAAUACGAAGGGGGCGAGCGUUGUUCGGAAUAACUGGGCGUAAAGGGCGCGUAGGCGGGCGAUUAAGUUAGAGGUGAAAUCCCAGGGCUCAACCUUGGAACUGCCUUUAAUACUGGUUGUCUAGAGUUUAGGAGAGGUGAGUGGAAUUCCGAGUGUAGAGGUGAAAUUCGUAGAUAUUCGGAGGAACACCGGUGGCGAAGGCGGCUCACUGGCCUGAUACUGACGCUGAGGCGCGAAAGCGUGGGGAGCAAACAGGAUUAGAUACCCUGGUAGUCCACGCCGUAAACGAUGAGUGCUAGCUGUUGGGUGGUUUACCAUUCCGUGGCGCAGCUAACGCAUUAAGCACUCCGCCUGGGGAGUACGGUCGCAAGAUUAAAACUCAAAGGAAUUGACGGGGGCCCGCACAAGCGGUGGAGCAUGUGGUUUCAUUCGAUGCAACGCGCAGAACCUUACCAGCCCUUGACAUGUAUAGGAGGAUAUCAGAGAUGGUAUUUUCUUUUCGGAGACCUUUACACAGGUGAUGCAUGGCUGUGGUCAGCUCGUGUCGUGAGAUGUUGGGUUAAGUCCCGCAACGAGCGCAACCCCCGCCUCUAGUUGCCAUCAAGUUUAGGUUUUUACCUAGAUGUUGGGUACAUUAUAGGGACUGACGGUGGUCCGUAUUCGCAAGAUGUGGAUGACGCCAAGUCCUCAUGGCCCUUAUGGGUCUGGGCUACAUCACGGCGCACGCAUUUGGUAGG
Molecule: ribosomal RNA, 1137 nt
Filed under: Candidatus Liberibacter asiaticus
Lineage: Bacteria; Pseudomonadati; Pseudomonadota; Alphaproteobacteria; Hyphomicrobiales; Rhizobiaceae
Description: bacterial SSU rRNA
Rfam family: Bacterial small subunit ribosomal RNA
Source: RNAcentral